UAAAAUCAUUACAUUUUCCCUUUAUUUUAUGUAUUCUAUACAAUAAAAAUGACAAACAUGGCAUGUACAUAACAUCCCCAGCCAAAGCUAAAAACCAACAACAACUAAGAAUACAUUAGUAGUAUUUGACAAGCAUGCCUCAUCUUCUCUUUGGAUUCACUAUCUCUUAAAAUACUCUGGUGGUAUUUGAGAUACCAAUUGCUUCAUUCAAAACAAUCUCCUCAUUAAUGCUUCUCUCUGUCAACAAUCUCACUUUGCAACACUUCAUAUGACCUGAAUCAAAAUAAGUAUUAAAAUUAUGACUCACUAUGUUUUUUCAGCGAAAACUUUUACCAAACAUGUGGCAGGCACGAAAUACAUCUAAGAACUGUUUUAGCAUAAAUGCAUGUUAAGACCACAAAAAUUGAUCAUGGAGUCGACUUUUAGGGUUGCAUAACCAUGAAAUGGAUAAUUAAUUGAAGAAUUGAAUAGAAAAAAUAACGAACAAUGAGAUUUCGAGAUAGUGCCAUCAACACCAAAUGAUCAACUAAAAAAAACACAGAUGUUGUAAAGAGUUGAUGAAAAGAAAAAUUUAGACAAGAAAAAAGGAAAAGAAAUUAGAUGUUCAAUCAAUUUGUUUGUGGACCCAAGUUUUGUGCUUUGUGUGAGAAAAUAAAUGAUAAGUUUUAAAAAGUACGUUUUAUUAGGUAAGAGAAAAUUAAGAAAAAUAGCAAAAUAAUACUAAC
Molecule: long non-coding RNA, 725 nt
Filed under: Citrus sinensis (sweet orange)
Lineage: Eukaryota; Viridiplantae; Streptophyta; Magnoliopsida; Sapindales; Rutaceae
Description: long non-coding RNA (CSIN_LNC004515)
Source: RNAcentral